UUUUCGUUUAAUAGUUACAAAAUUAAAUUCUUGUAUAUUUUUCGUUUGAACAAAUUUGCUUUAAUAAAUCUGCCGAUGACUUCAGGAACGAGUAAAAUACUUGACAAGAUAAUUUAAAAUUAACUUUUGUUAACAACGCAUUGCUUUUAAAACUGACACUUGAAGCUGUGUUUUUUCGGCCGUCCAUAAAUUGUUAAUUAAAGAAAUGAUGCCAUUACAGUCAAACAGCCAUACACUCAUGCAAUACACAUACUUACCUAAGAAAUAAGAUUUAAUAGAAACAUAACUGCGUCAACGAAAA
Aphis gossypii (cotton aphid) is the source of this 301-nucleotide long non-coding RNA. RefSeq lists it as uncharacterized. Lineage: Eukaryota; Metazoa; Arthropoda; Insecta; Hemiptera; Aphididae. The transcript has 2 exons. The record is from RefSeq and is a predicted model, not a curated record.